This 298-nucleotide ribosomal RNA is filed under the name Diasemopsis minuta. RNAcentral's name for it is "partial 12S ribosomal RNA". The record is from RNAcentral. Lineage: Eukaryota; Metazoa; Arthropoda; Insecta; Diptera; Diopsidae.
AUCUUUAUAAUUUUACUUUCAAAUCCACCUUCAAUUAAUUUUUCAUAAUAAUAUUCAUUUAAAUAAUUUUAUUGUAAUUCAUUUCUACUUAAACAUAAGCUACACCUUGAUCUGAAAUAAAUUUGUAUAAAAAUUUAAGAAAAUUAUUAAUUCUUUUAAAAUAUUCUGAUAACGACGGUAUAUAAACUGAAAACAAAUUUAAGUAAGGUCCAACGCGGAUUAUCAAUUAUAGAACAAAUUCCUCUGAACAGACUAAAAUACCGCCAAAUUUUUUAAGUUUCAAGAACAUAACUACUAC